GACGAACGCUGGCGGCGUGCUUAACACAUGCAAGUCGAACGGAAAGGCCCUGCUUUUGUGGGGUGCUCGAGUGGCGAACGGGUGAGUAACACGUGAGUAACCUGCCCUUGACUUUGGGAUAACUUCAGGAAACUGGGGCUAAUACCGGAUAGGAGCUCCUGCUGCAUGGUGGGGGUUGGAAAGUUUCGGCGGUUGGGGAUGGACUCGCGGCUUAUCAGCUUGUUGGUGGGGUAGUGGCUUACCAAGGCUUUGACGGGUAGCCGGCCUGAGAGGGUGACCGGCCACCUUGGGACUGCGAUACGGCCCAGACUGCUACGGGAGGCAGUAGUGGGGAAUAUUGCACAACGGGCGGGAGCCUGAUGCAGCAACGCCGCGUGCGGGAUGACGGCCUUCGGGUUGUAAACCGCUUUCGCCUGUGACGAAGCGUGAGUGACGGUAAUGGGUAAAGAAGCACCGGCUAACUACGUG
This 468-nucleotide ribosomal RNA is filed under the name uncultured bacterium. RNAcentral's name for it is "partial 16S ribosomal RNA". It matches the Rfam family "Bacterial small subunit ribosomal RNA", at positions 28 to 507 of the family's 1533-position model. The record is from RNAcentral.